CGUGUCGCUGCCGCCUGUGACUCAGAGUUCAGGUUUCUCACUAUUUGUUCCUCUUUAAUUGUUUACCGUGUGGCGCUGAGACAACGGCAGCUGGACGACAGGAAGCAAGCCAAAUGCCACGUGUGAGGUAAUGACCCCGUGGCAGCGGCUCACAAGAACUGCUCCAGUCGAGCGCAAAUUUGCAGCAGCCCGAACUGGAUGCGGGAGAAAGGAGGAGGAAGUGUCCUUGCAGCUUGUCAAACUAAAAGAACGUGUCGACCGCUUCAGUAAAUCAGCGCAGCACCUCCAACGGGCUUCUUGCGUGCACUCUCCAGAACUUCCAUUGACAACUCGGGCUGAAGUCCGUCAUACAAAGGAACGAUGAAAAGUGCGAUACGGGAACCCCUCCGCAACUGCGUGAGCGCACCUGC
Molecule: long non-coding RNA, 410 nt
Organism: Syngnathus typhle (broad-nosed pipefish)
Lineage: Eukaryota; Metazoa; Chordata; Actinopteri; Syngnathiformes; Syngnathidae
Exons: 3
Source: RefSeq, a predicted model, not a curated record